RNAcentral lists this ribosomal RNA (253 nucleotides) under uncultured bacterium. Its description in RNAcentral is "partial 16S ribosomal RNA". It matches the Rfam family "Bacterial small subunit ribosomal RNA", at positions 524 to 776 of the family's 1533-position model. The record is from RNAcentral.
UACGGGGGGGGCAAGCGUUGUUCGGAAUUACUGGGCGUAAAGGGCGCGUAGGCGGUUGGGUAAGUCAGCUGUGAAAACCACGGGCUUAACUCGUGGCCUGCAGUUGAGACUGUCUGGCUUGAGUGUGGGAGAGGAGAGUGGAAUUCCUGGUGUAGCGGUGAAAUGCGUAGAUAUCAGGAGGAACACCGGUGGCGAAGGCGGCUCUCUGGACCACAACUGACGCUGAGGCGCGAAAGCUAGGGGAGCAAACAGG